UACGGAGGGUGCAAGCGUUAUCCGGAUUUAUUGGGUUUAAAGGGUGCGUAGGCGGCCUUAUAAGUCGGUGGUUAAAGGUGGUCGCUUAACGAUUUCACAUGCCAUCGAUACUGUAGGGCUUGAGUGAUUUGGAGGUAGCUAGAAUUCCCUGUGUAGCGGUGAAAUGCAUAGAUACGGGGAGGAAUACCGAUUGCGAAGGCAUGUUACUACGAAUUAACUGACGCUGAGGCACGAAAGCGUGGGGAUCAAACAGG
Molecule: ribosomal RNA, 254 nt
Filed under: uncultured bacterium
Lineage: Bacteria
Also listed under: 1 other name
Description: partial 16S ribosomal RNA
Rfam family: Bacterial small subunit ribosomal RNA
Source: RNAcentral